UUAGGGGUUCCAUCAUCUUCUUCGAUCUGCUCGGACCAUAACCAGCAAAAGAGAUAUACUAUGCCGUCUCAGCCGAAUCAUCUCGAAGAGAUUUUAUGUGGCCACCGUUCUCCUAUCGUCGAAGUGAGGCUUCUGAGAUUUUUGGAAGCUAGAACCUUCAAACGUGGUGGGGAGUUGAUGGGGUGGAAAUGCUUCUCCUUAUGCCAAGGUUUUCCGAUCUUUGACAAUUUCACGUUCAGUUUCCUUAAAGUCGGUGCAUCUGAAGCUCUAUAUAUAGGCUAAAUCUCAGAAACAUGGAGGCAGAGCAGGGGGCAGAGGAACUGAAAAGUCUCAAUCAUAAUAGGGUUGAACUUGAGAGGUUACGCCGUAUGUAAGAGCGGAUGGUCAGUAGGGAGAAGUUAGAAUGAGAGUUGGCUAUUUCCUCCCAUGAGAUACAUGCUACCAGAAGGGUUCACGCUGCACGUUUAGUACUGGUCCGUGAUACAUUUCUCCUCUCGAAGUUUUGUCCGACUCAGCGACAACGUCAACAAAAGAUUAUCGAGAUAGUAAUAUAUCCGGCAGGGAAGCAAUGCAGAGCUCAGAUGAUAUCACCAUCAACAGCACAGCCUCUGUUAAGCGUCGAGGUUCAAAUAUGUUGAUACGAAACUGAGGAGAACUCAGGGCAAAUAUAGAAAGCAGAUGUGGAAAAAUCAAAGAAAUGACUUUUUAUAAAAGGUCAAAGCGAUUCUCUUAAUUCACCACCUCAAUGAUCAGAUUGUUGCAGUGUAACAGCGUUUUCCUACUGUAAAACAUUGCAGUAUCACAUUCACUGUUUAUCAUUUUCUAUUAUUCCUCCUCAA
Brassica oleracea var. oleracea is the source of this 839-nucleotide long non-coding RNA. RefSeq lists it as uncharacterized. The transcript has 7 exons. Lineage: Eukaryota; Viridiplantae; Streptophyta; Magnoliopsida; Brassicales; Brassicaceae. The record is from RefSeq and is a predicted model, not a curated record.